Long non-coding RNA from Lynx canadensis (Canada lynx), 5799 nucleotides. RefSeq lists it as uncharacterized. The record is from RefSeq and is a predicted model, not a curated record. Lineage: Eukaryota; Metazoa; Chordata; Mammalia; Carnivora; Felidae. The transcript is spliced from 4 exons.
CGUAGAGCAUGCAGGGGAGAGGCAGGCAGGGCCAGCGUUGUUGGUGAUGCUGUUGGCCUGGCCUGGAAGAUUCAGACUGCAGGAGACACAUGGAAACAGGGCAACCUCUCUCAGCUUCUUCAUGGUCUGUGGAGACUCAGUCUAAUGGAGCAGGGCCAGCCCCUUAUGUCCCAAACGGGACAUGAACAGAACUGAGGCACAACGAGCUACUAUAUCUCAGCACUCGGAGUGUAAGGCCCUUGGUCUUAAACCGACAGAGGAGUAGGAAAUCAUUUCUUGCUAAAGAAUAAUAAAGACCGUAAAUGGCUGUGUGUGUGGAUGGUUCACUAGAAGAAAAGGAUUUCAGGACACAGAACUGUCCGGCUGGGUAAUGAGAAACUAGACCACGUCGGGCUCUCACUUAGAGGGCUGAAGGCCCUGGGAUCCAUUUUCCACCCAGACCGUUCCUCUGCUUGGCUACCAGCCAAGUGGGCCUCUCCAUCUGCUCCCCGUCUCCCUCUUCGACUCCUUCCUGAUCAGUGAACCUGAAGAACAAGAUGCCGGCGUGGGCAAGACCAAACCAGUGUCUUGUCCUUUCAGUUUGUUCUUCAACAGCACCUUCACGUGACCACUGCAGUUAAGCGGACAUAAGCACCAGCCUGAAUACAGCAGAGAAACAUACAUGGAAUUACCUGCAGAAGGCAAAGACCCAGAAGGAAUUUAACGCUCAGGUUUAUGUAUUCCAAAUACGAAGCUGACCCUAUAAAACCGAGGAACCUAUUUCAGCUAACACUUCAGCGAAGCACGACCAAACUGGACAUGUGAAUCCCAACCUAAGACCUCCAUCGGCUUUGUAGACAAUCCUUCAGAGACACAACCUCACCACCUCCUCCCUCCGGAGGAGGAAGCAGCUCAUGAGGACCCCCAGUCCAGGCCCUGGGCUCUCUCUCCAACCCCCAGCUCCGGGGGAGCUAUUCCGUACUGUCAGACUCAAGGACAAGAUUUUUUUUCUUUAAGUCAAACCACAACAGGAGAAAGGGGGUCCCAGGGUAAGAGCGAGUUUCUUUCCAUUGUCCUAUUAACCCCUGGCACGAGUCUCUGAGGGAAAAUUGGCAUUUUCCAGAGGGUUUUAAAAAGGGAAAGAUUUCAACCAAUAGAUGUGGAAGUCAGUGCCCCUGAUAGGAGGCCAACAAUAGACCCCAGGAGACAAACCAGGAGCUGAAGAGGGAUGUGGGAAGGAGAGCCCCCUUUUCAACCAGCUAUGCUCUGCCCCACACAUCGAUCAUCUUCCGUUCCCAAGGGUCAGAGGAAACAGCCGGAGAAUAGUCUUCCAUUUGUAUUUGUCAAACUCCGCUCACUCCCUUGAAGCCAAGGAAAGAGAUUUAAACUACAAGUGUCAGCCAGCUCCUUGUAACUAAACUAGUCAUUUGGUAUUUCGAGAGCAUCUGAGAAGCGUAAUUAUGGAGGAGAGGAGGAGAGGGUCAUUUCUUCAGCUCGCCCACACCUUUCAGAAGCGGUGAUUUUCACCCUGGAAGAGCAGCAUAAGGUCCCCUCCCUAAAUUCCACAAAACCCAGGAGCUGGGCAAGAGGCCACAGCAGGAGGGGAUCAUGGGGAUCUAGCCUUGGCCCCACAUUUUAUAGAGGAAUCUCAGACCAGGGAGGUUAAAAUACUUGCCCAAGAUCACAGAGUGAAUUAAUCCUUAAUCCACGACCUGUGGGGAUGAAGUAAACUGGAGUCGUCAGUCCGAGACAUGCUCCAAGUUUUGUUUUUGUUUUAAAACGGCCUAGCUCACAAAAUGGUUUAUUUCAAACCAAGAAGGCCUUGCUUUGUUUUAAGCCACUUCAAUUAUCAGAGGACAGCAUGUGUUCUGGUGAACUCUGCAGCACUUUGGAACCACAGAAAAUUUACAGCCUAAACGUGAGCAGAUUACGUUCCACAGCAUCUGCCAUAAAGUCAGGCUUCCCAACGCGGCCACACACAGAUUAAAAGCUCGCUACGCAUAAAGAAACGGCAUUUACUUGAGAGGGGGAAAGGCUGCUUCAGCAGCAGCUAGAUCCUGGGACUUGGGAGGACUUGGGGGUAAGUAUCGACCCACCCUGCGGGACAGAGCUUCCUUAACACAGGGUCUAGAUCCAGCUCAACAGUCCCCCAGAACAGAAGUCAGAGCUGUUUUCUUUUUACAAAGCCUUACCCUCUGGAAGGAGUAGGGUGCCUCAUGAAUCAAUGUAACAGCCUGGGAUCCCCUAGGAUAACGGUCUCAGCAUUAGACCUGGAGGCCUUGGAUAGGUCCUCAGCUGGAAAGGCAAUCUCUAGGAUCCCCGAGUAUAAGGAAUGAACACUAAGGCUCAGAGGGGCUCAUUUGCCCACAGUUUCACAGCACAUCAGAAAGGGAUAAGAGAUCCUAGGUUUUUGGGCUAGGGGACAGGAAGGGAUAAAGGACUCGGGCUGAUCUCUCUGGGUGACGCUGCUCCUACAAUCCUUAGAGUUCCCAGACUUGUCACCCCAUCCAGCUGGGAAUAGAUCAGGGUUUCUCAAUCUCGGCAAUAUUGACAUUUUGGGCUGGAUAAUUUUCAUGUGGGGGGCUGUCCUGUGCCUUGUCAAUGGUUAGCAGUAUUCCUGGCCUCUACCUACUGCAAAGGCAUCCCCAGUUGUAUCAAUGAAAAGUAUCUCCAGACGUUGCCGAAUGUCACCUGUGGUGGGGGGGGAGGGGACACAUGGUACAACAUCAUCCCAGCUGAGAACCACUGGAAUAGAUAAGUGAGUUUCAGGGUGCAGUCCCCACACUGUCCUCCCAAACAUGCCUCAUCCCUUACCCCCCAGGUAAGAGCUGGGCCACUCAGCAAGUUUCCUGUUGGAGCCAGACUUGAGGGAAACUGAGGCCAGCCACAGCAGCCUAGUUCUGGAGAAAGCAGCUUAGCACCAAUACCCUCUCCAGCGUGGCCCCUAGCCCAGGCCACUGACAGCUGUUGGGUCUUAGAGAGUUCACAAAAAUCAGGGCAUCUGUGGAGCUCCCCCCUUAGAAGCCAGAGGACCAUAUCCGGGGCAGGGUGAUAGGACAUCUAAUUAGAAGGAAGGGCAUACAGUGGUCACAUUUGAAGGAAGGGCAUACAGUGGUCACAUCACUACACGAAAAGAUGGUUUCCUAUAAAGGCCUCUUAGAGAGCUGGGCCAUGGCCAGCAGUGCUGGGAAAUUUUCAGGGGUGUCAGCAGAAGCUUAAUACUGAUUAAACACCUACUAUGUGCCAGGCACUCGGCUAAGCACUUUAUGCAUAUCCCUACCUCGAGGAUGGUUCCACCAUCGCUCAUUGCAUAGAAAAGGAAACUGAGGCAGCAGCUAACUAACUUGCUUGAGGCUUGCUUGAGGCGGCCCGUUGUCCUCGCGUGAGAGGACGCCCAAGCUCUGCUUCACGACGGCGCCUCAUGAGGCUCUGGCCCCAGAUCGCAAGACCCACCGAGGCAGGGGAAAGACGGCGGGGCUCGAGGCGGCAGCAGCUUCGGUCUUUGCUGAGCAGCCACGCGCCAAGUGCCACGGGCAAGUCAGCCCCGCGCCCGAGCUGGUGCUGGGGGGGAAGGGCCGGCGCCAGCUGGAACAGAACUUGAGAACACAUUAGCAGAGUCUCACUUCCCAGGAGAGCACGACUCCGCCCGCGCUGAACAGACUUCGUUGGCAGCGAGUAGUACUCGCCAGAGUCCCUGUGUCACUUAGAGAAGCCAUUUGUUUCCCAACGGCCACCAGGAAGGAGGCAGCUGUCCUGCAGCAGGAGUCUCUGGUGCUGCCGGAACCUCUUGCCAGGGGCCACACGGCCUUCCAGCCCGACACGCGGGGCAAAGGCUCCUUGGCUCCGGCUGCUCUCUCCCAACGUCCUGGGAAGUGCCCGGAGGCCUUGGGGCCGGCCACUCGGACUCAGGAGUCGGAGCUGCUGGAGCAGCAAAUCGGAAAGAUCAAGCACUCGACUUUGGGUGGGCAAUGCUGCGAAGCAGGACAGGCCUCCGGGGCCCCAAACUCCUCAGCAAUCCCUGCUCAGGCCAGUCUCAGGCCACAGGCAGGCAGCAGUGUCCUCCCUCCCCAGGACUGACGCACAGCACUGACGUGGGACCGUGCGGCUAGCAUGCCUCAGAUUGAACGGGACUUCAUCGCUUUUCUAAAUCCCACAAUCCAGCAGUCUAAGGAAAUGCCCGGAAUAAACCUGAUAUAACCCCCAAUGCACGGAUUUUCCCUGUGGGGAACAUCUUUCUUUUUCUGACAGGUGACCUCAGGCCCCGGCCGGCAUGGGAAUUAGAAUGCACUCUACCAGGCCAGAAGGAUCGGCUUGUGGUUAAAGGGUGAGCGUGUUAAUUCUGGGCAACCUGCUCAGUGACGAGAGCCAGAGGAACGCACAUUAGUCUCUCCCUGCAGACAGCAUCUUACUUGAAGUCAUGGAGUUUCGCCUUGCGUCACAGCCCCACAGACACAGAAGGGUCGGACACUGUCUUCAGGGGUCGUAUCCACAGUGCUGGGCACGGGCUGCCCUUUCCAGCUGCUGGAAGGUUGCUCACAAAUGACAAGGGCAGAACAGGGAUCUGUCCAACUCAAACGACUUGUAGGGUAAUGAACAGCAACCCUCCCGGCCCCAGCAAGGCAGUGAGCUUGGAGAGAGGUUUAAAGUACAGCUGAAGAGCCAAGCAAGCUCAAGGUCGGUAUAGAAGAACCAAGAGCCCUCUCACCUCUCCAACUGGGCAGUUUGUCUUUCUGGCCCAGGGCCCAACAGAAGUCUCUGGCAAGGGCAAGUCUGCACUUUCCUCUGGGACAGAAGAAAGUACAGGAGAGGAUUUCCAGCUGGCACUCUAGAAAACUCAGCAGCAGCCGGCCCCCUGGUUCUUGGCAUCCAUUGAUUUCUAGAAUGUUUGCUUAUUAUUGGUGGACUCCACUCUGAGUGUUCAGUAGGCAGGAAUCUCUCCAGAAGCAAGCUUCCCUCCCUAACUCUUUCUGUGAUCAUUAGUGCCUUUCUCCCUUUCUCCUACGCCAAUCCCCUCCAGUUCUCUUUGAGGGGUUCUCAUUUACUAGACAAACAAGUUGAAAAAUAAGUUUAGAAAUAAGCUUGGAUAAGAGCAAUAAAGCCUCCCUUGAGCCUUUGCCAUUAGAACUGAUUUGAGAUAGGAGAGCCAGAUAUUCCAGGUGAGAAUUACAGGGUUUGGGAUUAGAGAGACAACCAAGUCUCCUUUGGUUUUCUUCUGUAAGAACUAAAUUGGUAUUUAUUGGCACGAGCCAAGAGCAAAAAAGGGCAGCCGGCUCUCCUCUAAGGUAUUUACACAUUCAAGUGUGGCAGAUUUACCAGAGUCGAAAAUGGCAGAAAAAGAAUUCAGAACUUUGUAUGUCAGAGAUAAGUUCUAUAUUGUCCCAAACAGAGUUUUCUACCGUUAAAAAACCCUGCCCCUUGCUGGAGGGGAGAUGUGAUUAGGUCACAGAGCCAAGCAGGCAAUGUCUGACCUGGUCUCUCUAGGGGGAGGUCACAAGCUCCCAACACAAGUCCCAAUAUAAGCUCAUAACAAACUCAGAAGCAUCCACAGCAGCCUGGAGCAGUGGUUGCCUGCAGAGGCGGACGGGUUUCUUAGAGGCCCCAGCAUGGUGAGCUCUGGGCACUGACUUGGUAACAACAGGGCUUCUGGUUGGGAUCCCCCUCAGCUCUUGGUCAGACUUACAUAUGAUCAACAAGGUCACAGUCAGCAAUGAGCCAAGUGACUCCUCACCUAUCCCUUGACAGCAGGAGAAAUAAAUGUUGGGUAAGAAAACGAUGCUGAUGGGGCGCCUGGGUGGCGCAGUCGGUUAAGCGUCCGACUUC